GGGGAGUGCGGUCGCAAGAUUAAAACUCAAAGGAAUUGACGGGGACCCGCACAAGCGGUGGAUGAUGUGGAUUAAUUCGAUGCAACGCGAAAAACCUUACCUACCCUUGACAUGGUCGGAAUCCUGCUGAGAGGUGGGAGUGCUCGAAAGAGAACCGGCGCACAGGUGCUGCAUGGCUGUCGUCAGCUUGUGUCGUGAGAUGUUGGGUUAAGUCCCGCAACGAGCGCAACCCUUGUCCUUAGUUGCUACGCAAGAGCACUCUAAGGAGACUGCCGGUGACAAACCGGAGGAAGGUGGGGAUGACGUCAAGUCCUCAUGGCCCUUAUGGGUAGGGCUUCACACGUCAUACAAUGGUCGGAACAGAGGGUUGCCAACCCGCGAGGGGGAGCUAAUCCCAGAAAACCGAUCGUAGUCCGGAUUGCACUCUGCAACUCGAGUGCAUGAAGCUGGAAUCGCUAGUAAUCGCGGAUCAGCAUGUCGCGGUGAAUACGUUCCCGGGCCUUGUACACUCUGCCCGU
This 518-nucleotide ribosomal RNA is filed under the name uncultured Burkholderia sp. RNAcentral's name for it is "bacterial SSU rRNA". It matches the Rfam family "Bacterial small subunit ribosomal RNA", at positions 875 to 1397 of the family's 1533-position model. The record is from RNAcentral. Lineage: Bacteria; Pseudomonadati; Pseudomonadota; Betaproteobacteria; Burkholderiales; Burkholderiaceae.